GAUGAAGAACGUAGCGAAAUGCGAUAAGUAAUGUGAAUUGCAGAAUUCAGUGAAUCAUCGAAUCUUUGAACGCACAUUGCGCCCGCCAGCAUUCUGGCGGGCAUGCCUGUUCGAGCGUCAUUUCAACCCUCGAGCCCCCCCGGGGGCCUCGGUGUUGGGGGACGGCACACCAGCCGCCCCCGAAAUGCAGUGGCGACCCCGCCGCAGCCUCCCCUGCGUAGUAGCACACACCUCGCACCGGAGCGCGGAGGCGGUCACGCCGUAAAACGCCCAACUCUUCUAAGGUUGACCUCAGAUCAGGUAGGAAUACCCGCUGAACUUAAGCAUAUCAAUAAGCGGAGGA
Molecule: unclassified non-coding RNA, 343 nt
Filed under: soil metagenome
Description: partial contains 5.8S ribosomal RNA, internal transcribed spacer 2, and large subunit ribosomal RNA
Rfam family: 5.8S ribosomal RNA (bases 1-120)
Source: RNAcentral